Long non-coding RNA from Microtus oregoni (creeping vole), 633 nucleotides. RefSeq lists it as uncharacterized. The record is from RefSeq and is a predicted model, not a curated record. The transcript has 3 exons. NCBI's taxonomy places the organism in Eukaryota, Metazoa, Chordata, Mammalia, Rodentia, Cricetidae.
AGUCAGUGCGUGGGGGCGGUAGGAGGCAGGAAUACCUCCACUAUCUCGUAGCCACGGAACUCUGUGGUUUCAGUAGCCAAAACUCUUAUCUAAAGGAGCUAAAUGGUUCGAGAAGAUGGGAGGUGAAAGUUCACUCGAGGGAAUUUGCUUCAUUAAGAGGCAUGCAGCGUGAUCUGCAUGAUCCCUACGGUCAUCCUACUGCUGUGUCUCAGGGGGCCUCGCUAGCUGUUAAAUAUGAUGCCGAAGAACACGCUCUCCACGUUCCGACAUCUGUUCCUGCUCUCCUCCUGCACCUUCGGAACCUGUUUCCAACACACUCUUGGCUUCUGUCACUCAGGACCCAGAUGGAUGCAUCUCAAUGGACACAACUCUUUUAAAAUGGCUCAGUGGAAGACUCCAGAUAUCCACCAAUCAAGGAAGAAAAAUCAAGAUACGUGGAGUCACACAGACCUGGAUUUAGGUCUGGAUAUGAUGUAAUUUCUCUUAGAGCCUGUAAGAACUUGGGAAAAUGUUCUAAGAUCUUUGGGUGCUAAUUAGCUCACCCGUAAAACUCAGAUGGUGAUAUGCUCUCCAUUUACAUUAAGGUGAGACACAAACAAAAUGCCUAGUUCAGUAAAUGAAUUGAAAAUGCUC